AUUGAACGCUGGCGGCAUGCCUUACACAUGCAAGUCGAACGGUAACGGGCCUUCGGGUGCCGCCGAGUGGCGAACGGGUGAGUAAUACAUCGGAACGUGCCCGAUCGUGGGGGAUAACGAGGCGAAAGCUUUGCUAAUACCGCAUACGAUCUACGGCUGAAAGCGGGGGACCGCAAGGCCUUGCGCGGACGGAGCGGCCGAUGGCAGAUUAGGUAGUUGGUGGGAUAAAAGCUUACCAAGCCGACGAUCUGUAGCUGGUCUGAGAGGAUGAUCAGCCACACUGGGACUGAGACACGGCCCAGACUCCUACGGGAGGCAGCAGUGGGGAAUUUUGGACAAUGGGCGCAAGCCUGAUCCAGCCAUGCCGCGUGCAGGAUGAAGGCCUUCGGGUUGUAAACUGCUUUUGUACGGAACGAAAAGCCUUCUUUUAAUACAGGAGGGUCAUGACGGUACCGUAAGAAUAAGCACCGGCUAACUACGUG
This 482-nucleotide ribosomal RNA is filed under the name uncultured bacterium. Its description in RNAcentral is "partial 16S ribosomal RNA". It matches the Rfam family "Bacterial small subunit ribosomal RNA", at positions 30 to 507 of the family's 1533-position model. The record is from RNAcentral.